This 597-nucleotide ribosomal RNA is filed under the name Bullifex porci. RNAcentral describes it as "bacterial SSU rRNA". It matches the Rfam family "Bacterial small subunit ribosomal RNA", at positions 944 to 1533 of the family's 1533-position model. Lineage: Bacteria; Pseudomonadati; Spirochaetota; Spirochaetia; Spirochaetales; Spirochaetaceae. The record is from RNAcentral.
GUUUAAUUCGAUGCAACGCGAAGAACCUUACCUACUCUUGACAUCCAGAGAAUUCGCUAGAGAUAGCUUAGUGCCUUCGGGAACUGUGAGACAGGUGCUGCAUGGCUGUCGUCAGCUCGUGUUGUGAAAUGUUGGGUUAAGUCCCGCAACGAGCGCAACCCUUAUCCUUUGUUGCCAGCGGUUAGGCCGGGAACUCAAAGGAGACUGCCAGUGAUAAACUGGAGGAAGGUGGGGAUGACGUCAAGUCAUCAUGGCCCUUACGACCAGGGCUACACACGUGCUACAAUGGCAUAUACAAAGAGAAGCGACCUCGCGAGAGCAAGCGGACCUCAUAAAGUAUGUCGUAGUCCGGAUUGUAGUCUGCAACUCGACUCCAUGAAGUCGGAAUCGCUAGUAAUCGUAGAUCAGAAUGCUACGGUGAAUACGUUCCCGGGCCUUGUACACACCGCCCGUCACACCAUGGGAGUGGGCUGCACCAGAAGUAGAUAGCUUAACCUUCGGGAGGGCGUUUACCACGGUGUGAUUCAUGACUGGGGUGAAGUCGUAACAAGGUAGCCCUAGGGGAACCUGGGGCUGGAUCACCUCCUUACCUAAAGA